This 328-nucleotide ribosomal RNA is filed under the name uncultured eukaryote. Its description in RNAcentral is "partial 18S ribosomal RNA". It matches the Rfam family "Eukaryotic small subunit ribosomal RNA", at positions 1470 to 1796 of the family's 1831-position model. The record is from RNAcentral.
CCCUUAGAUGUUCUGGGCUGCACGCGCGCUACACUGAUACCUUCAGCGAGUCCACCACCUUGCCUGGGAGGGUGGGGUAACCUCUGGAAAGUGCAUCGUGAUGGGGAUCGAUUAUUGUAAUUAUUAAUCUUCAACGAGGAAUUCCUAGUAAGCGCGAGUCAUCAGCUCGUGCUGAUUACGUCCCUGCCCUUUGUACACACCGCCCGUCGCUCCUACCGAUUGGGUGUGCUGGUGAAAUGUUCGGAUCGGCCGUUUGUCGCGGUUUCCGCGUCAUGUGGCUGAGAAGUUCAUUAAACCCUCCCACCUAGAGGAAGGAGAAGUCGUAACA